GACGAACGCUGGCGGCGUGCCUAAUACAUGCAAGUAGAACGCUGAAGGAGGAGCUUGCUCUUCUGGAUGAGUUGCGAACGGGUGAGUAACGCGUAGGUAACCUGCCUGGUAGCGGGGGAUAACUAUUGGAAACGAUAGCUAAUACCGCAUAAUAUUGACUAUUGCAUGAUAGUCAAUUGAAAGGUGCAAAUGCACCACUACCAGAUGGACCUGCGUUGUAUUAGCUAGUUGGUGGGGUAACGGCUCACCAAGGCGACGAUACAUAGCCGACCUGAGAGGGUGAUCGGCCACACUGGGACUGAGACACGGCCCAGACUCCUACGGGAGGCAGCAGUAGGGAAUCUUCGGCAAUGGACGGAAGUCUGACCGAGCAACGCCGCGUGAGUGAAGAAGGUUUUCGGAUCGUAAAGCUCUGUUGUAAGAGAAGAACGAGUGUGAGAGUGGAAAGUUCACACUGUGACGGUAUCUACCAGAAAGACG
RNAcentral lists this ribosomal RNA (480 nucleotides) under Streptococcus cristatus. Its description in RNAcentral is "bacterial SSU rRNA". It matches the Rfam family "Bacterial small subunit ribosomal RNA", at positions 28 to 493 of the family's 1533-position model. Lineage: Bacteria; Bacillati; Bacillota; Bacilli; Lactobacillales; Streptococcaceae. The record is from RNAcentral.